Pipistrellus kuhlii (Kuhl's pipistrelle) is the source of this 417-nucleotide long non-coding RNA. RefSeq lists it as uncharacterized. Lineage: Eukaryota; Metazoa; Chordata; Mammalia; Chiroptera; Vespertilionidae. The record is from RefSeq and is a predicted model, not a curated record. The transcript has 2 exons.
CUAGUGCCACGUUCCUCAGAACAUAUCCCUGCUGUCAAGGAGUGCAUGGCAACAGAACUACCAACCUUACACAUAUAUUACAUUCCUUUUUAAAAAGUUAAUGGGUUACCUUGGUGGGACGAUUCUGGUGCAUUUCCUCUCUUCUAAUUCCUUGACUUGGAACUUUCAGACUUCCUCUACCUCUCCCGACCCAACACAGAGAUAAUUCUGUAACUACAUAUUUAUUUUUUCUUAGAAUAUUCGUGAGUAUUUUUGUUUUUCCAAUUUAAACAUAUAUGAUUUCAAAGUUAUAUAAAACUGUGUUCUUUAGAAGUAUCUAGCAAGACAGUACAUACUGUGAAAUCUAAUUUUACAACUGAAUUAUUUUACACAUAUAGGAAAUUAUAAAUUUCAGUUGAAAGAAAAAUCUCAUGUAUA